GUCCUUUCACCCGGCCUGGAUGGGGUUUGGUUCCUCUUGGGAUGCGAAACCAAACCCCAAACCGGGGCUGGAACCCACCCAACGCCAGGACCCCCCCCCCGGGGCUGGUUUGGGAAGGGCGCACGGGGCUGGAUGGGGCCAGGAGGGAUUUGGGGCAGGGUGGGUGCAUGGGGUGGGCUCCGCAGCGGGGUUUUGGGGUGGUGGUGACCCCAGUGCUCAGCUUCCCACCCCCAGCCCCUCCCUCCAGGGGCUUUGGGACCCCCUGGGGACACAGCAGGGCCACGGGGGAUGCUGUGGACACCGGGAUCGCCCCCAAAGCUGGGCUCUGUAGGGCCAAGGGGACAGGGGGACGAGCCCCCACGCCCCCUCCCCUUUUUCCCCUUUUUGCUCGGUGCCCCCCACCCACACCCAGCCCCGUGGGGGGGGUGUCCCAGGGAUGGUGUCAGCACCCUGAGGGCUGUCCCCGUGCUUUGGGGCUCCCCCUGUCCCCCCCCGACCUAUUUAUGGGGCCAUCUGCUCCCGGCACAAAGCGGAUUUGGAGCCUGGUGGGAUCAGGGCCUGGGGGCUGCGGGGGGCAACACCACAGCGGCGCGGGGUGUCCGGCUGUCCCUCUGUCCGUCCCUCUGUCUGUCCGGCCCCCGGCCCCCUGCAGCCCCUGCCCCCCCCCAGCCCGUGUCCGUCCUCCCCCCGCAGCCCUUCCCCUUUCGCCCCUUUCCCCACAUUUCCAUUUUUUUCCUUUUAAGAUUUUCCGCCUCCUUUCAUUUCCUUUUUAUUCCCUUUUCAAUUCACUUUCCUUUUUAUUUCCCCCAUUUUUUAAAAAAAAUUUCUUCCCCUUUUGCCCUUUUUUAUUCCUUUCCCUUUUUUUCCUUUCCCUUAUUGCCUUUUUAUUUCCCCUUUCCUUAUUUUUUCCUUUUUUAUUUCCUUUCCCUUAUUCCCUCUUUAACCCCUUUCCCUUUUUCCCCUUUUUUCCCUUUUUUCCCUUUUUCCUUUUUCCCUUUUUUUCCCUUUUUCCCUUUUUCCCUUUUU
This 1026-nucleotide long non-coding RNA is filed under the name Anas platyrhynchos platyrhynchos (common mallard). RNAcentral's name for it is "lncRNA (ENSAPLG00000028738.1)". The record is from RNAcentral. Lineage: Eukaryota; Metazoa; Chordata; Aves; Anseriformes; Anatidae.